RNAcentral lists this long non-coding RNA (435 nucleotides) under Dromaius novaehollandiae (emu). RNAcentral describes it as "lncRNA (ENSDNVG00000000540.1)". The record is from RNAcentral. Lineage: Eukaryota; Metazoa; Chordata; Aves; Casuariiformes; Dromaiidae.
CAGAGAAGAAUAUUUUGCUAUAAGCGUUUUAACAUUCAAGUCGUCACUAAAGGUGUGAACCAUGUGGCUGUUGCUUUUUCUUGCAAAGGGACCCAGAAACUUCUCCAGGAAUGUCUGUCUGUCCRUCUGUCUUUGGAAGGAAGGAAUGCAGCAAUCUGGAGGGCAGGAGUGAUGUUCGUCAACGAAUUGAGGUGAGAAAAGACAGAGAAAUGCAUGAAUUGAGAUUGUGGAUUGGACUCUGUCUGCUGGACACAUGUUGGAUCAURCUGAAAGUCUUAAGUCAAGUGGCAGAUGCCCUUUUUAAUGGAAAAUGGAUUUGAAUCUAUAAUUACCACAACCAUCACAUGUCUAAUUUGCAGUUGUGUGCACAAACAAAUAAUUUGCCCAUGUACUGCCUGUACUUUCGCAUUAAAUGCUCUUGGCUCCUGCUCUUAG